This 489-nucleotide ribosomal RNA is filed under the name uncultured bacterium. RNAcentral describes it as "partial 16S ribosomal RNA". It matches the Rfam family "Bacterial small subunit ribosomal RNA", at positions 30 to 506 of the family's 1533-position model. The record is from RNAcentral.
AUUGAACGCUGGCGGCAGGCCUAACACAUGCAAGUCGAACGGUAACAGGAAGAAGCUUGCUUCUUUGCUGACGAGUGGCGGACGGGUGAGUAAUGUCUGGGAAACUGCCUGAUGGAGGGGGAUAACUACUGGAAACGGUAGCUAAUACCGCAUAACGUCGCAAGACCAAAGAGGGGGACCUUCGGGCCUCUUGCCAUCGGAUGUGCCCAGAUGGGAUUAGCUAGUAGGUGGGGUAACGGCUCACCUAGGCGACGAUCCCUAGCUGGUCUGAGAGGAUGACCAGCCACACUGGAACUGAGACACGGUCCAGACUCCUACGGGAGGCAGCAGUGGGGAAUAUUGCACAAUGGGCGCAAGCCUGAUGCAGCCAUGCCGCGUGUAUGAAGAAGGCCUUCGGGUUGUAAAGUACUUUCAGCGGGAAGGAAAGGAGUAAAGUUAAUACCUUUGCUCAUUGACGUUACCCGCAGAAGAAGCACCGGCUAACUCCGU